RNAcentral lists this transfer RNA (90 nucleotides) under Eubacterium ramulus. Its description in RNAcentral is "tRNA-OTHER". It matches the Rfam family "tRNA". Rfam says of the family: Transfer RNA (tRNA) molecules are approximately 80 nucleotides in length. Their secondary structure includes four short double-helical elements and three loops (D, anti-codon, and T loops). Lineage: Bacteria; Bacillati; Bacillota; Clostridia; Eubacteriales; Eubacteriaceae. The record is from RNAcentral.
UGGACUGUAGCUCAGUUUGGGAGAGCAACCUGGUUUAACUUUUUUUGGUAUCCAGCUAGUCAGUCACAGGUUCGAAUCCUGUCAGUCCAA